RNAcentral lists this ribosomal RNA (253 nucleotides) under uncultured bacterium. RNAcentral describes it as "partial 16S ribosomal RNA". It matches the Rfam family "Bacterial small subunit ribosomal RNA", at positions 524 to 776 of the family's 1533-position model. The record is from RNAcentral.
UACAGAGGUCUCAAGCGUUGUUCGGAUUCAUUGGGCGUAAAGGGGGCGUAGGUGGCGCGGUAAGUCGGGUGUGAAAUCUCGGAGCUUAACUCCGAAAUUGCAUUCGAUACUGCCGUGCUUGAGGACUGGAGAGGAGACUGGAAUUCAUGGUGUAGCAGUGAAAUGCGUAGAGAUCAUGAGGAAGACCAGUGGCGAAGGCGGGUCUCUGGACAGUUCCUGACACUGAGGCACGAAGGCCAGGGGAGCAAACGGG